RNAcentral lists this ribosomal RNA (482 nucleotides) under uncultured bacterium. RNAcentral describes it as "partial 16S ribosomal RNA". It matches the Rfam family "Bacterial small subunit ribosomal RNA", at positions 28 to 507 of the family's 1533-position model. The record is from RNAcentral.
GAUGAACGCUAGCGGCAGGCCUAAUACAUGCAAGUCGGACGGGAUUCAGGAGCUUGCUUCUGAUGAGAGUGGCGCACGGGUGCGUAACACGUAUGUAACCUACCUUUAUCAGGGGGAUAGCCUCUCGAAAGAGAGAUUAAGCCCGCAUAAAAUCACAGCACAGCAUUGUGUAAUGAUCAAAUAUUUAUAGGAUAAAGAUGGGCAUGCGGAACAUUAGCUAGAUGGCGGGGUAACGGCCCACCAUGGCGACGAUGUUUAGGGGAUCUGAGAGGAUGGCCCCCCACACUGGUACUGAGACACGGACCAGACUCCUACGGGAGGCAGCAGUAAGGAAUAUUGGUCAAUGGGCGGAAGCCUGAACCAGCCAUGCCGCGUGCAGGAAGACGGCCCUACGGGUUGUAAACUGCUUUUAUACGGGAAUAAACCCAGAUACGUGUAUCUGGCUGAACGUACUGUAAGAAUAAGGAUCGGCUAACUCCGUG